AAUAGAUACCCCGGUAGUCCACGCCGUAAACGAUGAGUGCUAAGUGUUAGAGGGUUUCCGCCCUUUAGUGCUGCAGCAAACGCAUUAAGCACUCCGCCUUGGGAGUACGGUCGCAAGACUGAAACUCAAAGGAAUUGACGGGGCCCGCACAAGCGGUGGAGCAUGUGGUUUAAUUCGAAGCAACGCGAAGAACCUUACCAGGUCUUGACAUCCUCUGACACUCCUAGAGAUAGGAAUUUCCCCUUCGGGGGACAGAGUGACAGGUGGUGCAUGGUUGUCGUCAGCUCGUGUCGUGAGAUGUUGGGUUAAGUCCCGCAACGAGCGCAACCCUUGAUCUUAGUUGCCAGCAUUCAGUUGGGCACUCUAAGGUGACUGCCGGUGACAAACCGGAGGAAGGUGGGGAUGACGUCAAAUCAUCAUGCCCCUUAUGACCUGGGCUACACACGUGCUACAAUGGAUGGUACAAAGGGCAGCGAAACCGCGAGGUUAAGCCAAUCCCAUAAAACCAUUCUCAGUUCGGAUUGCAGGCUG
Molecule: ribosomal RNA, 531 nt
Filed under: uncultured bacterium
Lineage: Bacteria
Description: bacterial SSU rRNA
Rfam family: Bacterial small subunit ribosomal RNA
Source: RNAcentral